CAGUAGCCACGGUAAAACGAGGGGUGCAAGCGUUAUUCGGAUUGAUUGGGUGUAAAGGGUGUGCAGACGGCUUAUUAAGUCACUUGUUAAAUUCUUCGGCCUAACUGAAGGUCUGCAAGUGAUACUGAUGAGCUAGAGGGUGGAAGAGAGAAGUGGAAUUCUCGGAGUAGCGGUAAAAUGCGUAGAUCUCGAGAGGAACACCAAUGGCGAAGGCAGCUUCUUGGUCCAUUCCUGACGUUCAUACACGAAAGCGUGGGGAGCAAACGGGAUUAGAGACCCCAGUAGUCCCUGUCUCUUAUAA
RNAcentral lists this ribosomal RNA (301 nucleotides) under uncultured bacterium. RNAcentral's name for it is "partial 16S ribosomal RNA". It matches the Rfam family "Bacterial small subunit ribosomal RNA", at positions 509 to 809 of the family's 1533-position model. The record is from RNAcentral.